AACGCACCUUGCACUCCCGGGUAUUCCUGGGAGUAUGUCUGUUUGAGUGUCAUGAACUCUUCAACCCACCAGUUUCUUGUAGACUGAAUGGAGUUUGGAUUUUGAAUGUUUGCUGAUCCUAGUGAUGAAGCUCAUUCGUAAUACAUUAGCAUCUCUAAUUCGAAUUCGGAUUGACUCAGUGUAAUAGACUAUUCACUGAGGAUCACCUUUGGGGUGGCCGAAUUGGAAAGAGUGGAAGCUUCCAACUAUUGUAGUCAAUUCUAGAUUAGACCUCAGAUCAGGCAGGAUUACCCGCUGAACUUAA
This 304-nucleotide ribosomal RNA is filed under the name uncultured fungus. RNAcentral's name for it is "eukaryotic LSU rRNA". The stretch from base 1 to 52 matches the Rfam family "5.8S ribosomal RNA", at positions 103 to 154 of the family's 154-position model. Lineage: Eukaryota; Fungi. The record is from RNAcentral.